GUGAAUCAUCGAAUUUUUGAACGCAAAUUGCACUUUCUGGUAUUCCGGAGAGUAUGCCUGUUUGAGGGUCAGCCUAAAAAAAAUCGACAUCGUUGCUGUUUCGCGGUGACGUUCGUCGGAAAUUGGGUCAUCUUAAACCUUUUGGUUUAAGCGACUUAAAAUUUUCUUUUUGAUUCCAUGAACGUUUCUAAGAUUUAUUUCUUUACACGUUUAAGGUAUCGAUUUAUUAGACGUGGCCGUCAUAUCGGAUCGCGUCCAUAAUAAUUUCUUUAACUGACCUCAGACAGGUAAGAGUACCCG
Molecule: unclassified non-coding RNA, 300 nt
Filed under: Glomeraceae sp.
Lineage: Eukaryota; Fungi; Glomeromycota; Glomeromycetes; Glomerales; Glomeraceae
Description: partial contains 5.8S ribosomal RNA and internal transcribed spacer 2
Rfam family: 5.8S ribosomal RNA (bases 1-71)
Source: RNAcentral